This 207-nucleotide ribosomal RNA is filed under the name uncultured bacterium. RNAcentral's name for it is "partial 16S ribosomal RNA". It matches the Rfam family "Bacterial small subunit ribosomal RNA", at positions 568 to 774 of the family's 1533-position model. The record is from RNAcentral.
CGUGUAGGCGGUUUGGCAAGUCGAGUGUGAAAUCCUACGGCUCAACCGUGGAACUGCGCUCGAAACUGCCUUACUUGAGUGCGGGAGAGGUGUGCGGAAUUCCUGGUGUAGCGGUGGAAUGCGUAGAUAUCAGGAAGAACACCGGUGGCGAAGGCGGCACACUGGCCCAGCACUGACGCUGAGGCGCGAAAGCGUGGGGAGCGAACG